GUUUGAAAUUAUUUGUUGUUGCCGAAAUAAAGCGCUACAGGCAAUAUGGUGUCUAAAACAAAUGCAGUUAGAAAAUGAAGAAUGUUGCCCAGAAGGUGCCAUCUCAUGCUGUAAUACUUUUGGGUGCAGUGAAUGUCAAAGCAAGCUGUAACUCAAAGACUGUCAGUUAUGAGAGAGCUGACGGAGAGAGAAACAUGCAGAGAUGCGAUCCAAGCACCCAGCAUGUCACAAGGAGUUAGAAGAGCCAUCCCUCUGAAGAUCAUGUCACCAAAGAUUAAUUGGAUCUCUGCUCCUCUGAGAAUUAGUGAUUUCGAGGUUUAGAUUAGAGGUUUUUAUCGCACUGGUUCAGGCAGUGCUUCAGACGUUUCUAAGACUGAGGCUUUACAAUUAUUCUCAACUCUGACUUAUCUCAGAAUGGCCCAACAAAAAGGUUUGUCUUUCCUUCCAGCACGUUCUCUCUAUAUUAGUCACAUAUAUACAAUAGUUAAAUAAACAUGAAAAUUGUCAUUUUAAUACUUAGUAAGUUCAUAUAUCACAUUUAGUCACUGUCACUAGAAAUUUCCUUUUUAAAGUUUGUAUUAAAUGUGCAGUAGGAGAACUUGGAAAAUGCUAACUUUAGCCUGAUAGCACUGAAAGCGAAUGUCCCACCCUCCCUGCAAUUCCCGUCUAAAGCCACGCCCACUGAACACAUUUACGAUUACAGACCAGAAUACCAGAGACAACAUUACUACAAUAGGCUAC
Molecule: long non-coding RNA, 741 nt
Organism: Cyprinus carpio (common carp)
Lineage: Eukaryota; Metazoa; Chordata; Actinopteri; Cypriniformes; Cyprinidae
Exons: 3
Source: RefSeq, a predicted model, not a curated record